This 105-nucleotide microRNA precursor is filed under the name Canis lupus familiaris (dog). Its description in RNAcentral is "mir-8834 microRNA precursor family". It matches the Rfam family "mir-8834 microRNA precursor family". Lineage: Eukaryota; Metazoa; Chordata; Mammalia; Carnivora; Canidae. The record is from Rfam by way of RNAcentral.
AGGAGGAACAACCGCAGUGGCGGGGCCAGCUCUGGAGCCCUGGAGUCAGCUCCCCCAGUAACUCCGGAGCUCUCCGUCUGCAGGGCCUGGAGGCUCCGGGGCGGG